Molecule: long non-coding RNA, 981 nt
Filed under: Equus caballus (horse)
Lineage: Eukaryota; Metazoa; Chordata; Mammalia; Perissodactyla; Equidae
Description: lncRNA (ENSECAG00000046478.1)
Source: RNAcentral
GUCAACCCGGCUCCAGCCCAGGGCAGGGCCGCAAUUCCAGGCCCAGGGUGGCUGUUGUAACUGUGACGCUUUCCCCACCUUCCACUGUUCUCCGACUUGCCCUCAGCGGUCGGGUAUGUGGAAACACACAGAAGCCCAGGCAAGCCCUGCCCGCUGAAUUGUAGCCCUGCUCAGGGAGAGGACAGGAAUCAAAGGCAUGCUGCAGGCUUCCUGUUUCCUCACCAUUGUGUGGACAGAAUGGCUUCUCUUACAAUGUUCUGGCAGCAACCCACGACCCGGGCCUGUGCCAAGAAUUGAUGAAGAGAUCGGAUUCGGAGCAGCGCUCUGCACCCAGAACUCUGGUGUCCUAGGACUCCCUGGGCACAAAGCUGACCACCCACCGUGGGCCCCGCAGAGGGAGGCCUGCUCCCCGCCGGGAGAUGGAGCAGACCCGCGGAAGCUGGUCCCUCCCGCCCCGCCGCUGCUGCGGGUCCCUGGUGCGGGGCUGGGUUUUGUCAUCCGAGGGCAUACGACCACUCUCUUGCACUUUUCCUCACACGUGAUCUCUGUUGCUUGAAGCCAACCAGAAGCUCUCUUGGGGCAGGGACCCUGCGUAUUUCCACGUCCAUCUUCCCCGUCAUCAUAUCCCCACCACUUAGCACAGUACCUGCCCUCAGUAGAGACCUGAUGAAAAUGUGUGAAAUGAAGGAAAGAUGACACAGCUCAUCGGAGCCAGCUGUGAUACACCUCAGCAGAGCCGUGACCUUCUCUUUCUUCACACGGGACCUCAUUCAUGGCCUAGCUGCAGCACCCAUCACACGUGCUUUCAUUAUGUGUUGGUUGUCUAUCUGUCCCACUAGGUUAUGGGCUGCUUGAAAUUAAGACCUGUGCUGUAUUUACGUCUACAUCUUCAGGCCUGGUACAUAAUGGGCACAAUACAGAAGCUUUAUAAAUGAUAUUUGAAUAAGCCACUAAAUUAACAGAAUGAAUCCUUUCACUUGG